RNAcentral lists this ribosomal RNA (468 nucleotides) under uncultured bacterium. RNAcentral describes it as "partial 16S ribosomal RNA". It matches the Rfam family "Bacterial small subunit ribosomal RNA", at positions 28 to 507 of the family's 1533-position model. The record is from RNAcentral.
GACGAACGCUGGCGGCGUGCUUAACACAUGCAAGUCGAACGGAAAGGCCCUGCUUUUGUGGGGUGCUCGAGUGGCGAACGGGUGAGUAACACGUGAGUAACCUGCCCUUGACUUUGGGGUAACUUCAGGAAACUGGGGCUAAUACCGGAUAGGAGCUCCUGCUGCAUGGUGGGGGUUGGAAAGUUUCGGCGGUAGGGGAUGGACUCGCGGCUUAUCAGCUUGUUGGUUGGGUAGUGGCUUACCAAGGCUUUGACGGGUAGCCGGCCUGAGAGGGUGACCGGCCACAUUGGGACUGAGAUACGGCCCAGACUGCUACGGGAGGCAGCAGUGGCGAAUAUUGCACAAUGGGCGGAAGCGUGAGGCAGCAACGCCGCGUGCGGGAUGACGGCCUUCGGGUUGUAAACCGCUUUCGCCUGUGACGAAGCGUGAGUGACGGUAAUGGGUAAAGAAGCACCGGCUAACUACGUG